This 253-nucleotide ribosomal RNA is filed under the name uncultured bacterium. RNAcentral describes it as "partial 16S ribosomal RNA". It matches the Rfam family "Bacterial small subunit ribosomal RNA", at positions 524 to 776 of the family's 1533-position model. The record is from RNAcentral.
UACGAAGGGGGCUAGCGUUGCUCGGAAUCACUGGGCGUAAAGCGCACGUAGGCGGAUCUUUAAGUCAGGGGUGAAAUCCCAAGGCUCAACCUUGGAACUGCCUUUGAUACUGGGGAUCUCGAGUACGGAAGAGGUUGGUGGAACUCCGAGUGUAGAGGUGAAAUUCGUAGAUAUUCGGAAGAACACCGGUGGCGAAGGCGGCCUGCUGGGCAGUUGCUGACACUGAGGCGCGACAGCGUGGGGAGCAAACAGG